This is a long non-coding RNA of Dromaius novaehollandiae (emu), 5658 nucleotides long. RefSeq lists it as uncharacterized. Lineage: Eukaryota; Metazoa; Chordata; Aves; Casuariiformes; Dromaiidae. The transcript is spliced from 8 exons. The record is from RefSeq and is a predicted model, not a curated record.
UGCGCGCUGCCCCGGGCUGCAGCCGGCGGCGGCGGCGGCGGCGGCGGCGACGGCUGCGGGGGGCGGUGACGUCACAGAGCCGCUCGCCAGCACAACGUUCCAUUGAGGCGAGCGCGUGCUCCGGCGAGCACAUGGGCAGCGGCCCCGCUCCGCGCUGCUCCGCGCCGCCCCGCGCCGCCCGCCCCGGCCGCUGCCCCGGCCCCUGCCCCGGCCCCGGCCCCCGCCCGCGGCCGCCCGGCCUGCGCCGCUCCUUCCCGCCGCGGCGCGCGGUCCUGGUCCUGCUCUUUUCACCAGUCUGGAGCAACGUUUGGAGGAACCCAGCAGCCUGGCCUUUCCAUACCUUCCAAGGAUUUUUAAGAUCGCAGGAUUUACAGACCCGUGAAAACUUCUGGAGGACGUGAGCUGUGGAUAAAAGCCUCUGGAAAUGCCUACCGUCUUCCUUCUUGUUUCUUCUUGGGUGACUUGCAUGUCAUUUGGGAAGAGAGCCUCUCCGUUCUUGGAGGAUUACGUCUAACCAGACACUUGCCAUCCUCACUGGAAUACUUCUGCUAAGUUUUCCCAGGAUGGAGAAAUUACUACACUCAGCUGAAGGAUAUUUUUCCCUUCUCCCAGACCUCUCCCAGAGCGCAGCAGCGCUCUCGUCCAGCAGGUCUUGGUCGACUGCAGAAAGGAGAGAGGAGGAGCAUCUGGAAGGGAGCUCAGAUCCCGCCAGGCUUUCCCGAGAAAUGAGGCACAUCCACAGUUUGAAUGAUGAAGUUUGAUGAGCUCUGAUUUUGGCUUGGAUUACCACCUGUCGAAGGUAUUCUGAACUGUCCAAAAGGUGUUUUGAACUGUCCCGGCAGCCCCUCUCACAGCCUUUGGGAACAGGAUGAUUUUUAAGUUUUUAUCUCCAGUGUUACACAAGGAGAAAGAAUGGAGUUAGCUGCUUGGCACAAGUAAACAAAAUAAAUGCUGUGUUGCUGUUGGGAGACCUCAAAAGGAGAAGAGCCUGCAGUAUAGUUCUCACUUUAGAGAGAUGGAUUUUGCAAAAGAGAAGAAGAGUGCAUGAGGGAAGAUAUAGGAGGAAAGAGAGGCGAGGUGAUGCUACGAGCAAGUUUCCUGACCUCCAAAAUGAGAGUGAUGCUUCGCAACAAGAUCUCUCUGGAAAGUAUGAACCACGAGAGCAGCUUACUCACUAUUAGAUAAGUAUUAUGGAUGACUCAUGUCAGAAUACUGAUAGACAUGCAGCUAACAUGAAUACACUGUUUUGUAAUAGCUGUAACACUAUGCUGAGAGCCAGGAGUCUUAAGCGCCCCCCCUUGCUUUUCCAUUAACUUGCUUUGGUUCUCUGGCAUCUUUUACUCCUUAGUUGGGCCAUCUAAACAACUCAUAGAAGAGUUUUUGCCCCCCCUUCAAAGAGGUACAGGGUAUGGGUCAACUCACCAACAUUAGUAGAUGGCAUCUUCAAAUGGAAGAUACUGUUGAAAGGCUGCAGUAUUGUAGCUAUUCUCCAGGUCAACAUGCAGUUUUUCUCUUUUUAAUGUAUGCAGUUAGUGGCUUUCCUUGUUUCUUUGUGUUUUUGUUUUCUUUCCAGAGCCAUCACUCCUCUCUUCCAACAUGACAGCCUGAAAGGUCCAGAGACAGCGUUUGGUACAGCGAGGCCUCCUGGAAUGGCAUUAUCACUGUAGAAACAGCAGGUGAUGAGAAUGAAGAAGCAAAAGACAAGGAGGGAAAAUGCAUCCCUGGGUGAGAUUCACAUGGAGCUGAGCCGUAAAGGGACUUGCACUGUACUUCGUUUCAGACGGAUCCAGUGAAUUAACAUAUUGUUGCUGCUGCUUGGGUAAUUGCUUGCCCAGGUUCUACUCUGCUCGUGCACAGUCUUCCCUGCUUCCCAGACAGAAAGCAUCCUUCAUGUCCAUCAAACAAGGCUGCAAAGUGUUGCCCUGAGACCUUGCUCAAAGGAAGGAGGUUUUCUAACUAUGGAAGCUCUGCUGGGGAGUUGCAUCAUGUGCUGCUGCCCCUAGAACGGUGCACAUAUAUUUGGGAGUGAUGAAGAACUGCAGUGUACUGCUGCAUAUUGCUUUAGUGAUGAGAGAGGCUCUCUGACAUGUUGUACAGCACCAAAACCCAUGCCAGGGUUGACAGCAAAAAUCCUUAUCAUCUUUGUAUUUUUUUCCAAGACAGCUGAUAUCUGCUGUGGAUUCUUUGUAUGCAAAUCAAGGUGGUACAACUACAACAAAAAAAAGCCCUGAAAGCAGUCACCAAGAUAAACUUGGACCAGUGGGGACAUUCCUGGUUAUCGUUUUUAAACUUUCUGGGUUUUUUUAGUUCUGCACAAGAUACUUCUUUCCCCUCUCUUUCUGCAGCUAUUAAUGUUUGUCCUGGCAGACCUCUUAUUUAUGAAUUACAGUGUUUCUUGCAUUUUAUAUGGCUCCAUAUCAAUAUAUCUGAAUAAAUGGCAGAAAGUGCUGAAAAUUGUCAUUAACAGUCCCUGUGUUUCAGCUUUGCUCUACAUCGCUCUGGUGCUUCCUGAUGUUAAGGCUAGACUUGAACCUCAUAUUGCAAAUUGCCAUAUGCCUGUAGUGAUGAUCUGUCCAGGAAGGUGUGCCCAGGACUCUUCAGAAAGCUCGGGAAAGGAAAGAAGAGAGGUGGAAAACAAAAAGGAGCCAGCUCUGAAAAUGCUUUGACUGAAGGAAUCUAGUUGAAGCAAUAUAUUUUGAGUCCCUUCUGUCUUAGAUUGCUGCAGUUUGAGGAGCAAAGCCUGGUUUCACUGGAAAACUUGGCAAGGGUUUUGGUAGUGACUUAAAAUAGGAGCAGGAUUUGACCCUCCUGAAGCAGCUGAGGAGAUAUCACACUCAACACAGCACUAAUGUGGUGACAUGAGCUUGGUCACCUCCUUGCCCUGGUGCAGCAAACUCACAUCUGCCCCGCUUAUGCCGUAUAAGUAUCACCAUAGCCGCAUGGGACUGAGUCGAGCGCUGUGUGCAUAGGGCUCCUGUUCCUGCUGCCCACAGCGGCAGCAUGCUGAUGCUAGAGCCACAGUGGGAAGUUGUGGGGAGCAAAAAAAGACUUCUGUAAGCAAUUGAGAAAACAGGACAUCUCAGAGCAAAAGAGAACUGCAGAACUUCGUGGCCCAGAGCCUAUUCCAGUCUGCGUCCAGAGAUACUCACCGCGGUCCGCGUCUCGUUGAAUCACACUGUGGUUGCUCUGGCAUGUGUGUGGGUAAUGGUGAUAAUCGUUACAUGUGGUGCUGGGUUUUGUUUUUUGUGGGUUUUUUUUUUAAUGUAAAAUUAACAGUCAGACUCUGUUGGUAGACAGCAAGCCUGUUACGGCUUUUAUCUGCCUCAACCGUGGGGACAAAGGAGGGAAAUUGGCUUGACGAGUUUGGUGGCCAUGCAUCUAACGGUCUGGGAGCUGAAAGCAGAGAACGCAACAGUCAGAUACAUGAACCCAUCUGGGAUUCAACUGAUAAGUUGUGUUUAAAAGCGAAAGACAAUCCUAAAAGAGCUCUGUCAAGUGGCUGAAGCCUCGAAUGCUGAGUCUUUUUUAAAAGGGGAUUUCAUAAGGACUAAUAUGAACAGAAAUGGCUCUUUUGUGGUUUUACACAUUCCAGGCAUGCCAGAACUGUUCCUGUCAAGGAUGGGCAGUCUCUGGGGUUUGGGGUUCUUUUUUUUUUUUCUUUCUUUUUUUUUUUUUUCAAAAUAUUCACCACAAACUAGCAGCUUAAAUAGUGAAAAAUAAAUGAGGGCUGCAAAAUCAUUACAGUAUCAGUAAUGGAAAUUGUAAGGCUAAUACCUAAACUGGCUGUGGCGUUCCACCCAAUCGUCUACGCUGCUGUGUUGCUGGGAUCACUAAUAUUGCCCACUAUGACUGCUUCAUGGUUGAUGACUUAAAAGCAGAGCUUUAACUGUCGGUUACCCAGAACCUCAAAAGAUUGGGUGCCUUUUUUCCAUGUAUAGAAGUAAUACCUUUUCGGCUGAACCAUUGUUUAAUAUGAAUCCCCUUAGUGUCAGUGCAGCUCUAUGGUCAUACAAUAUCUUUAAUUGUGAGAGCAGCAUUAAUUUCCACAGAUCCAUGGGUACAAAAAGGGGAUAUAGGCAUUCUUGCUUAGAUGCACGUAUUUUGGUCUCAAGCAGGCUGUAUCAGGUUAGUUUGCACCUGUCCACUUGACCUACAUGAGAUUUGAAUUGAUUUAAAAGAGUUUCCACACACAAAAUGGCUGUCUUAAAUAGUGCCUUAAAACAGUCUGAAGUCUCAUAUGCAGUAAAACAGGAGAUAUUUUGUGUAGACCUGACAUGUUAGAUAGGUGUUUAAUUCAUAAGCCUGUGUAACUUAUUCUUUUAGGUCUAUAUGCUGCUCCUCUCCCCACGCUCAUGAGUGCCCUGUGGGUAGCAGAAGCUCACGGAUAGUCAGAAAAGUGCUGCCAGGGGCAUUACUGCAGCUCAGCUGCCGUUGCCUAGCUAGCUUGGGUGUCACGGAGAGUACGGCUAUAAGAGCGUGGAAUUAACUGUGGAGGUCAAAACUCCCUGGGGGACCCUACGUAAAGACUCAGCACCUUUCAUCUGCAUUGGACUUCCUGGUGCCAUGACCAUGCUGACUGCAGCGAGCUCGGAGCAGGUCCACCAGUGGUAGCGGUGUAUUUAACUGCUCUGCAGGUGACCCUAAUUCCUCAGCGACAGAGCAGAAAACUGAGCCAGGGUCUUCCUGAAGGAGGCUGAGCCAUUAGGCCAUAGAUAACUGCCCUGAGAGUUUGCUUUUCAGCCUGGAUUCUGCCAUAGCAGCGAGUGCAGGCAAAGUGUGUGAUACAGAGGGCAAGAAAGUGUCUCUUUGAAAGUGGCAAUAAAGAGACACUGUUGGAAUGAACCCUCUGGCUUGGUUUUAUUAAACAUGAAUAUGGUUAUUUAGUGAGGGACGCAUGCUUGGAGGAACAGGAGCGAAAUUAGGACAUGGUGCCUGAACUCCAUUCCCACCCUCGAACGCACGCUGAUGUUACGGAGACAGGAGAAAUCUCAAGGCUGUUACCUGGGCUCUUGUAGGUCUGUGGGUGGAAGAACUUUAAUCUCCAGGGUUGUCAUCAAAUACUUAACUGCCUUGCAAGAUAUAAGGAAGGAAGAACAUGUAUUAAUUUGGCGCACAACAUACUUUUUUUUUUUACCUGAGAGGAGCUUGGUCUUGCAGCCUUCUGUGGCUGUCAUUUUAGGCUUAUUUCCCUAAGAAAAAAAAAAAAAAAAAAAAAGAGGAAGAAGGAAGGAAGGAAAGAGAAAGGAAGAAAGAAAGAAGAAAGAAAGAAAAGGAAAGAAAAAAGGAAGGAAGAAAGAAAAAGAAAGAAAAGGAGAGAAAGAAAGAAAAGGAGAGAAAGAAAGAAAGAAAGAGAGAAAAGGAGAGAAAGAAAGUCAGUCAGUCUCCUUUACCCCAUUGGUGCUUCCAGCCACAGAAAUCUGGAAACAAAAAAUCGGAAAGUAUAGUUAGCAGAGAGCUGUUUUUCUACUGGGCCUAUCUUAUGAUGAAUGAUUUUUGAAGUGGAUUUCACUUUGGCCUUUCAAGGUCUCUGCUGUGGAAAUAUUUAUCAGUGUGAAACUGUAUCAAGCUUUACAAGUGGUAGGAAAAAUUACCUUUAUAACCAAAUAAAUGUUUUUCUUUACAAGUCAUACAAACAGCUGUAUGUUUGGAAAAUUUUUC